This is a long non-coding RNA of Rosa rugosa (rugosa rose), 3933 nucleotides long. RefSeq lists it as uncharacterized. The record is from RefSeq and is a predicted model, not a curated record. The transcript has 4 exons. Lineage: Eukaryota; Viridiplantae; Streptophyta; Magnoliopsida; Rosales; Rosaceae.
CCAUCAAAUUUUAACUUUGAAGUCCAUGUAUUCUAAUUUCUAAAUCAAACACGAACUGGCUUCACUCUCGGCUCCGAGUCCUUGCACGGCGACGGGGAGAUGACGAAGUGGGAGGGGUACAGAUUUGUUGCCGGAAUCGGAUAGAAUCUCGGCGGGGCCUGUGAUGGUUUGGUCGGAGGAGAGGAGGAGAUGGGAGAUUUGAUUUGUGCUAAUUGCGAAACUGUUGAUGAACAGAUGAAGACUUAGAACUAGGUUAAUUACCAUGGAAGAGCUAAACUCUGAUCAAGGAGGAGAUGAGUUUGCCAUUGAUGGAUAGUUACCCCUCCAUCUGUUUCUACCUCUCAACCUCGGUCCCACUUCUUGUUUCACAAACUCACAGUAACGUUAACGACCAACUCACAAUAACAGAAAAUGGAAGGCCAUGGUUGCUCCGGACCCACUCAGCCAUAAAUCAACGGUGAAGAUGCCCAUGUGGAAAUCCACCCCGGGUGGAUAGCAGAAUUUUCCGUAAAUUAAUAGCGAUGUCCGGGUGUUUAUGAUGCCUGGGGAGUCCCUAAAAGAGGAAGUGAGAGACCACUGAUUGCAUAACAGAAUGGGCAGUCUAUACAUCGAUUUGGCAAAUCGCUUUUACUCUCUGCCCAAUGUACUAGGUCACAUGCUUGUGUCUAGUGUUUAGUUUAACCCUAAACUCUGUUUUUCACUAAACAAAAAAUUUCUUUUUAUUUUUGGUCUCUCUCUGCAGCACUUGAUUUAUUAUUCUGACACAUGCACACAUGCAACAUGCAUAGAGUUAUGACUCAACAAACCAUUAUAUGCAUGAAUUGAAUACUAGUUAUGAAAUAUGCAAGACACAUAGAGAUUUGAUAAUUUUCUGAAAUAUUGGACUAAUUUAUAAAUUAAUUAGGUGAGGAUUUAAUGAAUUAAUUAAUUUCUACCACGUCUCUUUUUGGUAAUGGUAAUAUUAUUUCAACCCCUACCUUGGAUCCCCUAUAUUGCAGACCUUAGGGUUAAGAUAGAUGGAAGCCGCAAAACAACAAAGGAAGAAGAAGAUGCAGAUCGAGCUACCAUGGUAUGACCUCCGAAGGCAAAAACGUAGGCAUGUGGUGAGGCCACGUAACCCUUCCUUGGCAUGUAUAAGAUGAUCGGAAUCGAGAAAGAGAGAAUGGCCUGCCGGCCGGCCUGGUUCUCGUUCAAGGCUAUAGCUUCUUUCUGGAUUUGCCGCGGUAGCUUGGAUCGUGAUCUAGAGUUUGGUUCUCUGAUUUUGGGUUCAGUUUCCGAGAUGAAGAAUAAGAACAAGAGAUGCAGGAGCGUCCGGGAAAGCUGAAGAGGAAGGGAGGGUGAGGCGUCGAUGGCUGGCUUGCGAACAACAUGUUUAUAUGAUCCCCUUGCUGCUGAGAGAGGGUUCUCUUCGUUUCUGAGGACACUCCAGACAGACUGAGUUGUCGAAGCGAAGGACGUUCAUCUCCCACCUUUAAAACAGGUUCUUCUCCCUUUUAUCUAUUUCUUUGUCUUUAAUCAUGUGUAGGCCGUUUUUGCUCGUGACUUUUCAGGACAGCAUGUCUUGUUUUUACAGUCUAGUUUUGUUCCUUUCUUUUUCUUUUCUUAUAAUUAUAGUGCUCAAUCAUGUCAACUCUAGCAUAUAUGAGCAUAUAUCUAGCAUUCUAAGUUUAGCAUCGACCAAAAUCUUUAUCAAACCCGAGAUAAAACAAUUGACAUUAUGAUUUCUAGUACAUGAAGAGAAAUUUUGAUAAAUUACAAAAAAGAAUUCAAAGAAGGACAACUUGCCCACAAUCAAUACACAUAGUUGCCUCAAUUCCAUCUAUAGAUUUUAGCUUUACCUACCUAGACCUCCCCACGAAUUCCAUUGCAUCUGAAGCCGGAAGAGAGUGAGAGAGGCCUACCACGAUGAAGUCUAGAGUCCGAUAUGGGAGAUGGGGGUGGGAUAGAGAUAACAGAAAAAAAGGGAACAUGCAUAGUUUCCCACCGAAAAGUGCAUGAAUUCAGAUAUUGACCAAAUGUAACAUUCGGUGUUGGGGGGGGGGGGGGGGGGGCGGAAGAGAUUCCCACCGAAAAGUGCAUGAAUUCAGAUAUUGACCAAAUGUAACAUUCGGUGGAGGGAGGAAGGGAGGGAGGGUCCAUAGUUUCUGACCGGAAAGUGCAUGAAUUCAGAUAUUGACCAAAUGUAACAUUAGGUAGCUUCCCAUUGAAAAUUAGCUCCAUUUUCAACGGUCUCCAAUUGAGAGUUAUGCAAUUGGAGAUGGGAGACCAAAAGUGAUGCAAUAAUUCAGUACUCUGCCAUAAGUGGCGUGGUGGGUUAACCUAAGCUAAGUCAUACAUCUGCCUCACGUUUCAGGUUAGCAUAUUUGAAGGAAAAUAUGAAUAUAAAAUUAAUAAAAUUCCCAUGCAGAGGUUUAGAAUGGCUCAGAGAGGCAACAAAAGUUGGAACCUUGAUAAACCCUACUCUGGCCCAAAGUGGUGAAAACCAUAUAUCUUUAUGUGCAUGAUGAUCUUCUGGAUAUAGUUUAGAGGUGUUAAAUAGUGGACUCGAUCCAAUUUUAGUAGCAUUCAGGGCUUCAGGCUUCGUGCCAUGCUCGGGCCAUCCCUUUUAGCUUUGUUUGAAUCACUCUAGGAAACAGUACUAGGUCCAACCCUAGUGGCAGCUGAGCCAACAUUUUGCCGGGCUAAUGAACAGUUUGAGUUCAGGGCCAAACCUCUAUUCCUCAUUGGCUGGAGUCAUCUUAGAUUUUGAUGCAUCGAUGUCAUCUAUAGAUUUUGUAGCAUUCCAGCCUAUAGGUUCCCAUUUUUGCAUAGGGGUCUCUUUGUUUUUUUUUUUUUUUUUUUUUUGAAACUUUUAAAAUCCAAUUUCAGGGCCCUAUAGAAAAGAAAAAUAGUUUAUCCCCAUUCACUCAGAUCCCGACGAAAGAAGAGAUAGAAAGUUGAGUAUAGUCAGCCUCGUCUUGUCAAACCACUAGAUUUACAUGGUAGAGGAGAAAGAGAGAAGGGAUAUACACAAUUUCAGCAUUGUCCUAUUGAAAAUUGUGCAAGAAUGGAGCAAGGAGUGGCCGAAUGUAACCAUUGAAAUUUCGUGUUAUUUUCGGUGGAGUGCAACCAGAAGUUAUACAAUAAUUUGUUGAGAGAAUGGAAGUGGUAGAAUAAUUCGCCAAUUCGGUUGCCUCCCACCUAAAAUAGUUUUGCCGGAGGUGGCAGCGCUGGUGAUAACAAAGGUGGAUGAUGUUGCUGGAAGUUUCGCAUUUUUGAUAUCGAGGCAAAUAUGAAUAUCAAAUGAGAAAAUUUGGAUACGGUACUAAGGAGAGCUAAAUGAGCCAGAUAUGGCAAAUAAGAAGUACCACCUUUUUUUUUCUUUUUUCUUUUUUUUGAGGAAAAGAAGAAGUACCACUUUUUUCUGUAUGAAAAAAGAAAAUUGAGGAACAUAAAAAUAAUGAGAAAAUGAGGGUACACAGCAUUGCAAGCCCAAGCCCACUCUUGGACCCAAACCCAGUACCAGCACAUGUAUAUAUAGUAGCUUUGCUCUAGAAAACUUGGCCUAUUCAGAUUUAGCAGCCUCCCUUUCUCUCUCUCUCUCUCUCUCUCUCCCCCUCCCUCCCCCCUGCGAACGAUGUCACCAUUUUGCCCUAACUGUGACCGAGAACCUGAGUUUUGGGGUGCUGAAGUGAAAUCCGGCGAGAAGUUGAAAGUGAAGCCAGAUGACUGCGUGGUUUUGCAUCUCACACAGGCAUGUGUGGGCUUAAAUCAAAGAUGUCAUGGCGUCGUUUAUGUGAGCAUCGGGGAAGAGAGAAGAGUCUUGGGAAGUCUCUUGCCACCAAGAGUACCUCAAUUUUCCUGCGAUCUGGUCUUUGACCAAGAAUUUCUGCUUUCACACAACUUGGAGAUGGGAAGCGUCUUCUUUGCCGGUUAUUCUUGCUUUAGUAAAAA